GUUUCUACUAAGUGCUAGACACUAUUCCAAGACUUUUUCAUUCAAUCCAUAUAACAACCCUAUAAUGUAGGUAAUUAGUAUUAUCAUUCCUAUUUAACUAAGAAAGAAACUGAAGCAGAGAGGUUAAAGUGCUUGAGAUGUACCCAAGAGCUCACAGCUAAUAAGUGAGGUUUCCAGGAUUCUAACCUACCAUUCCCUCUCUUAUGAUUGUUAUAUGUGUUCAUAUAUAUUUAGCAAGAACACAAGGGGAAGUCUGAGAACCAUAGAGGAAUGGAAAUAUGUGAAAAUCAGUUGUGGUUCCUAGUAAAAGUGACGAGUCUCAGUUUCCUAGACAGUUCAAAUUCAUAUCUAGUUUCCCAGCAUAAUUACUAAUAGUAUCCCUGUCACUCUCAAUAGUGUCCAAGUUUGGGCAAUAAAUUAUAGGGGUGACCUGUUAGAAACACCCUAUUCUACUACCAUGUUGAGGCUCUUAAAUUGUUAUCCAUAAAUUUCUCUAUCUACAAAAUGAGUGUUAAUGUUUGCCCUCUUUCUGCCUUCCAAGAUGAUAUUAUUGUGGCAUUAUGCAGAAGAAUACACAUGUAAGAUAUUUUGACAUAUUACAAAUGUCAGAUAGCUGUACAGGGAACUUCCAUAAUGCUGGGUUCCCAUCAUGUGCAGUGCCUGAAGGUGGAUACUUUACAUUUGUUAAUGGAUUCAUUGCCCAUGAGUACAUUAUGCCUUUUUUACUCCUACAGAACAAACAUUUGUGAUAGAAACAUUGGUGUCAGGAUAGAGUACAAACAAACAAAUCAUUGAGCCACUCUUAACCAUCAUUACUGAACCAGAAACUAUGUCAAGAAAUUUGAAAAGGAAGCUUUUCUAAUUUCAUUAUAUAAUAUCCACUUUAAGGUUGACUCAUUAUUUCCACAUAAGAAAAUGAGCAGAAUAAAAAGAAUAAACUGUUUCAUUAUUAAAAAGACAGUUCAUAAGGCUAGUGCUACUAAGUAACUUAUCAGAAAGAAAAGCUAUGAAUUCAUUUUACAAAAGAAAGAUUAUAAGGAGACAUUGCUGCUAUAAUAAUGAGUUGAAAUUCAAGAAAAUGACCUAUUUAUUGAGAUUUAAAAGGUGUAAGCUCUAUCAUGGGAUGUAUCUGUGUGGCGGGGGGAGGGAGAGAAUCUCUUUGUAUUCUGGCUUUUUGGUAUGAUAAUUCAUAAAAACAGGAGAAGGAAAAACAUCUAAAAUGUGUAAAAAUAUUAUAUCCUUAUCUUUUUGUAUCUUUCUUCAGUUCUCAAUUUUUGUUCCCUUUCCAUCUAUUCACUCUCUCACACUAAUUUUUUUUUUAAGAUUUUAUUUAUUUAUUUUGAGAGUGAGAGAGAUUGCAUGAGUGAGGAGAAGGGUAGAGGGAGAGAAAGAGAGGGAGAGAUAAAGAAUCUCAAUCAGACUCCACGCUGAGCAUGGAGCUGGAUGCAGACUGAAUCUCACAACCCUGAGACCAUGACCUGAACAGAAAUCAAGAGUGGGUUGCUUAACUGAUGGAGCCACCCAGCCACCCCUCACACAGUUCUGACAUAUUGUUCUGAUAUAUUGGCCAUUAUAUCAUAGUUUAACAUUUCCUUUACUCCUCUUUAAUUUAUCAUCUCAUUAAAUGCCCUCAUACCUCUGAUUGAAAAUAAGGGAAUAAAUUUAAUUAUGCUCAUCCCAUUUUUUUUUUCUUAAAUCUUUUUCCCACUGUGCAAAGCAGAGUUUGGGACAUUGUUUCCUCACCUAUAAAUCAAGAAAUUUCAAUCUGUAGACCCUGAUGAAAUUCACAACUUUGUAGAUCACAACAGAUCAUGUGAUGGAGGAGCUGAAUAAAUGCUUCAGAAUGAGACAAAGAGAUCAUGAUGGUGGGAAUGAUUCUAUCUUGCCUUGGGGGAAAAAAUAUCACCAUAACAAUGAACUCUGCUUCAAGUAAGCAAUAAAUCUCUCCUUAAACAUGCAAAGAAAGGGCCAAGGAAGGAAAAUAGGAGGGAAGACAAGGAAGGAGAAAAGAGAGGAGGAAAUGAGGGAGGAAUAAAACCCCUUGGUAUAUAAAAAUGUAAGUGUCAGAUAUGUGGCAUUCCCUUAAUGUCUUGAUCUGUUAGUCGUUAGAAUGUGCAAUACAAAACAAGAUAUACAGCCCCAGUGGCGCAGCAGUUUAGCGCUGCCUGCAGCCUGGGGCGUGAUCCUGGGGACCCUGGAUUGAGUCCCACAUCGGGCUCUCUGUAUGAUGCCUGCUUCUCCUUCUGCCUGUGUCUCUGCCAAUCUCUCUCUCUCUCUCUAUGAAUAAAUAAAUAAAAUCUAAAAAAAAAAAAAUCUUAAAAAAAAACAAAAAACAAAAUCAAGAUAUAUAAAUGCAAUUCUGGCUUUUUGAAAAAUCUUUUUAUCUAUCAUAAAGAGCAGUUGUGAAAGUAAAUGAUGUCAUAUAGUCAGGAGACCUUUGGGUUACCUUAGCUCUAUCUCUAAUUAAUGGCCCAAGAGCAAGCAAGUCACUUGGUUUUCAGAGGUGUGGGCUUUGUUGUGGUUUCUGAGGCAUCUCUUAGAAUGGGGGAAAAAAGGUAGGGAUUAUACCUUCAAUUUUUUGUAACUUUUUCACAUCAUGAAAAUGCCAUAUGGUUGACUGAUUCUUUUUGAGUCUUUAGGAAAGAAAAUAAAAACAGAAACGUAAUAAAUAAUGUUUUGCCAGUUAUAUUUCUCACGUAGAUGUGAAAAUUAUUUGUACGGCAUGUCUAAAAUCAAAACAGCUUAAAUGUAUGUAAUGAAAAAAAUGUAUGUAAUGAAGGUUAACUAUUAUAAUAUUAUGAAAGUAUUUUAUGAGUAUUCUUUAUAACAUCAUAGUAUUCCAAGAACCAGAGCUUCUAACUUUAAGUUGACCUGUGCUUUCCAUGAAGAACAUUUUCAUACUUGUGAAAAAAAAAUUGUAUAACUGCUGUAAAACAAUAGCUUGUGAACACUACUUUAGACUUUCUAACUAUGCUCUAGGGAACCCAAAAGCUCAUUUCCUCUGAACUUCUAUUACUUAUGUUUUAUGUUAAGAGAUUAUAUUGGUUUGCAAAGGCAUUAGUUAGCCAGAAAACUAGUCCCCAGAGAAUUUUCUUCAUUAUUAAAUGUAAAAUAAGAUACUAAAGAGCAGGAUGAAGGCAACUUUCACAUUUACCAAAAUUACCUAACAGGCUUGCAGAGAACAGGUGAGUAUGAUGUGAUUCCGGAGUAUUAAGCACAUCCACUUGAAAUAUGGCACACACAGGUUCUCUGAAGCAUGCCAGAAGCAUCCUUUUUUAUUUUUCAGAACCAAAGGCACAGCAUGUACAGAAACAAGUCAUGAUAAAGAUACAAGGAAUGCACCACGUGCUUGGGGUGAAAAGCACAGUGGAGAGGAUGAGGGUGUCACUCCUAACCCAUUUCUCUUCAAUCCAGUUCCUGUGCUGAGCCAGGGCCAACUCCACCCACACAGCUCUGGCCACCAUUAGUCAGUUAUGUAAGGGACCCUACAUAUGGUGUUCAAUUACUGUUAGCCAAAUUCAUGGCAAUGAAAAUAUUUCACUCCCAAACAAUUGCUUAUCAAUAAUUGAUGAUACUGAUAUAUAAUAUUAUCAAUAUAGUAAUCAAUAAUAUAACUUUCACAAUGCAGCAACAACUUGUUUGAACCAACACCUGUACAUGUUACUUGGUUUUUAAGAGACUACAAACUGCUAUAGGAACUUGGUUUCCUAUUUUUCUUAAAGAUUGUAUUAUUUGAGAGAGAGUGUGUGCACACAAGCAAGGGGGAUGGGACAGAGGGGGAGGAACAAGCAGACUCUGUGCUGAGCACAGAAUGCAGGGCUCAAUCCCAGGACCCUGGGAUCAUGACUUGAGCCAAAUGCAGACAUUUAACCAACUGAGCCACCCAGGUACCUCCUUUGUUUCCUAUUUUAUGUCAAACCUCACUCACUAUAUAACCCCCCAAAAGAAAACUAUUCAUUUUUUGGAUAAUAAUGACAAAUUACUGAUAUAAGAAUGCUUUGGUGCAGUAGGAAGAUAUCCAGCCCUUAAGUAAGAAGAUACAAAUUCUAGACUUGGCUCUGCCUUGAUAAUUUUGAAAAAUUCAUUCUUCCUAAGCCUUAACAUUUUCAUCUACAAAUUAAGGAAGCUGUGUUCAACAGAAGGGUUCUAAACUUUUGUUAGGAUAUGAACCCUUUUUUAAAAAAAGAUUUUAUUUAUUUAUUUGAGAGAGAGCGUGCACACAGUAGGCAGAGGGAGAGUGAGAAGCAAGCUCCCAGCUGAGUGAGGAGCCCAAUGUGAUGCUCCAUCUCAGGACCCUCAGAUUAUAACCUGAGUUUAAGGCAGAUACUUAACUACCUGAGCCAUCCAGGUGCUCCAGAACCCGUUUUUUUCCAACAAAUUUCACUAAUGAGCCCUACUUGUUAUGAUAAGAGUGACCUGCCCUGGUGGAAAAGACAGUAGAAAACCCAAGCUUC
RNAcentral lists this long non-coding RNA (4454 nucleotides) under Canis lupus familiaris (dog). Its description in RNAcentral is "lncRNA (ENSCAFG00000051995.1)". The record is from RNAcentral. Lineage: Eukaryota; Metazoa; Chordata; Mammalia; Carnivora; Canidae.